This 1120-nucleotide long non-coding RNA is filed under the name Canis lupus familiaris (dog). RNAcentral describes it as "lncRNA (ENSCAFG00040001207.1)". The record is from RNAcentral. Lineage: Eukaryota; Metazoa; Chordata; Mammalia; Carnivora; Canidae.
CUAUCUGAUAGUGGUUUGUUUCAGUGAAUAGAGUAAAUCUGGUCAUUGUUGUUCUGUCUUGACCAGAAAUGGAAAUCUGGCAUAUUUUAAAUGCUCAUUUACUUAGAAAAUGUGAAUAAUUGAAUAUUACAUUAAUAUCUAUAAGCUUAAAUGCAGGUAUUCCUUUAACAUAAUUUAUUCUUAAAAGUUUUAAAUGAAGUUAAAUUUUGCAUGUAAUCAAGAUGUUGUUAUUUGUUUAAGUCAGACAACAUUUGUGGGGUGCCUGGGUGGUUAAGUGACUGCCUUUGGCUCAGGCUGUGAUCCCAGGGUCCUGGGAUUGAUCCUUAUAUUGUGCUCCCUGCUCAGUGGGAAACCUGCUUCCCUUCUCCCUUUGCCACUCCUGCCCCUUGCUUGUGUGCUCUCUGAAAUAAAAAAUAAAAUAAUAAAAUAAAAUAAAAUAAAAUAAAAUAAAUAAAAUAAUAAUAAAAUAAAAUAAUAAAAUAAAUAAAAUAUUUUAGGAAGUCAGAUGUCAUUGUGAAAAGUUUCUUUGAUAGUUGCUAUUUUUCUUUUAUUUCUUACUUUCUCUUUGGGUUGCAGUUUCAGAAGUAUAAUCCACGAUUAAUAAGGAAGUAGAGGAAAUAAACUUUCUGGGAUUGUAAAUCAUUUUUUACUAAUACUAGUCUAAUCCUAUAAUAGAAAUAACGUUAAGUAUAUGCUAUAUAUGCAGUCAUUGAGUGACCUAAGAAAAUGUAGAUAGAAAUUCUCAUUUAACAGUUUUGACAAUUCAUUUGCAUUUAACUCAAAUCUUUGUACAACUUGUUUUUGUAGGAGUAAAGACUGUUUUUUUUUCCUGAUUAUUAGUUUUUUAAUACAUGCAGAGGAAUAUUACCAGUAAGAGCUUCCUUUCAACUCCUUAUGCUGGAGGUAUCAUGCAUCAAUAAUUUCAUAUUUGUUUCUAUGAAAACCAAGGAGAUUGGAACGUGUAAAGAUAAAGUACGUAGAAAUUAAUACAACAUUUCAUAUUCACAUUUACCAACAGACUUUUUGGCUUUACUCCUAAUUAAAUUCCUUUCAGUAAACAUCUAAUGGGCCCCUGCAAGGUACUGAAUAAUACAAUGAAACAUUCUUAUUACUUAGAGAU